UGAGGAUUUUGCUUUUUGAUUAUUUCUAUCUUUUACAGGGUUGUCCCAUUAUCAUGACCCAAUUCACCAGUUUCAAUGAUUUACCUACUUUAUGAUUUUCAUCAUUCUUUU
Long non-coding RNA from Populus euphratica (Euphrates poplar), 111 nucleotides. RefSeq lists it as uncharacterized. The record is from RefSeq and is a predicted model, not a curated record. The transcript has 3 exons. Lineage: Eukaryota; Viridiplantae; Streptophyta; Magnoliopsida; Malpighiales; Salicaceae.